This 280-nucleotide long non-coding RNA is filed under the name Olea europaea (common olive). RNAcentral describes it as "long non-coding RNA (OEUR_LNC002730)". The record is from RNAcentral. Lineage: Eukaryota; Viridiplantae; Streptophyta; Magnoliopsida; Lamiales; Oleaceae.
CAGAUCAGAGGUCGUGAGUUCGAUUCUCGAAAGGCUCUUGGAAGGCAGAUAUUCUCCUAGAAGGCAGGAUUUAUCCUGGAAGUCAGGAACUCUACUGGAAGGCAAUGUGCAAAGAUGGGAAACGACUUGUUUGGCACUUUGGCAGAUCAGUUGAGGGGGCUCUUGAGCAGUGGUCAGUUUGGGACACAACCUGCGGUUUAACCUGUCUACAGCUUGGGGGGUCAAGGUGUAGACUCCAAAAUUUAAUCACUGUAAGGUAGAUACCUGAAUAUCAAAAAAA